RNAcentral lists this ribosomal RNA (451 nucleotides) under uncultured bacterium. RNAcentral describes it as "bacterial SSU rRNA". It matches the Rfam family "Bacterial small subunit ribosomal RNA", at positions 28 to 475 of the family's 1533-position model. The record is from RNAcentral.
GACGAACGCUGGCGGCGUGCCUAACACAUGCAAGUCGAACGAGAAUCUUUGAACAGAUCUUUUCGGAGUGACGUUCAAAGAGGAAAGUGGCGGACGGGCGAGUAACGCGUGAGUAACCUGCCCAUAAGAGGGGGAUAAUCCAUGGAAACGUGGACUAAUACCGCAUAUUGUAGUUAAGUUGCAUGACUUGAUUAUGAAAGAUUUAUCGCUUAUGGAUGGACUCGCGUCAGAUUAGAUAGUUGGUGAGGUAACGGCUCACCAAGUCAACGAUCUGUAGCCGAACUGAGAGGUUGAUCGGCCGCAUUGGGACUGAGACACGGCCCAGACUCCUACGGGAGGCAGCAGUGGGGAAUAUUGCGCAAUGGGGGCAACCCUGACGCAGCAACGCCGCGUGCAGGAAGAAGGUCUUCGGAUUGUAAACUGUUGUCGCAAGGGAAGAAGACAGUGACGG